AGAUUGAACGCUAGCGGGAUGCUUUACACAUGCAAGUCGAACGGCAGCGCGGACUUCGGUCUGGCGGCGAGUGGCGAACGGGUGAGUAAUAUAUCGGAACGUGCCCAGUAGCGGGGGAUAACUACGCGAAAGCGUGGCUAAUACCGCAUACGCCCUACGGGGGAAAGGGGGGGAUUCUUCGGAACCUCUCACUAUUGGAGCGGCCGAUAUCAGAUUAGCUAGUUGGUGAGGUAAAGGCUCACCAAGGCGACGAUCUGUAGCUGGUUUGAGAGAACGACCAGCCACACUGGGACUGAGACACGGCCCAGACUCCUACGGGAGCAGCAGUGGGAAUUUGGACAAUGGGCGAAAGCCUGAUCCAGCAAUGCCGCGUGCAGGAAGAAGGCCUUCGGGUUGUAACUGCUUUGUACGGUAACGAAAGGACUACUUUCUAAUAAAGAGGACCGAUGACGGUACCGUAAGAAUAAGACGACCGGACUAACUACGUA
This 488-nucleotide ribosomal RNA is filed under the name uncultured soil bacterium. Its description in RNAcentral is "bacterial SSU rRNA". It matches the Rfam family "Bacterial small subunit ribosomal RNA", at positions 26 to 507 of the family's 1533-position model. The record is from RNAcentral.